RNAcentral lists this ribosomal RNA (426 nucleotides) under uncultured bacterium. RNAcentral's name for it is "bacterial SSU rRNA". It matches the Rfam family "Bacterial small subunit ribosomal RNA", at positions 355 to 775 of the family's 1533-position model. The record is from RNAcentral.
UCGAGAAUCUUCGGCAAUGGGGGAAACCCUGACCGAGCGACGCCGCGUGCGAGAUGAAGGCCUUCGGGUUGUAAAUCGCUGUCAGAGGGGAGGAAAUGCCGGUGGGUUCUCCCACCGGUUUGACCUAUCCUCAGAGGAAGGACGGGCUAAGUUCGUGCCAGCAGCCGCGGUAAGACGAACCGUCCAAACGUUAUUCGGAAUCACUGGGCUUAAAGGGUGCGUAGGCGGCCCGGAAAGUUGGGUGUGAAAGCCCUCGGCUCAACCGAGGAAUUGCGCCCAAAACUGCCGGGCUUGAGGGAGACAUAGGUGAGCGGAACCUAGGGUGGAGCGGUGAAAUGCGUUGAGAUCCUAGGGAACACCAGUAGCGAAAGCGGCUCACUGGGUCUCUUCUGACGCUGAGUGCACGAAAGCCAGGGGAGCGAAGAG